This 207-nucleotide ribosomal RNA is filed under the name uncultured bacterium. Its description in RNAcentral is "partial 16S ribosomal RNA". The record is from RNAcentral.
GACAGAUGGGGCUAGCGUUUUGCAUAAUGAUUAGGUUACAGCGUGUGAAAGCGGAGAUUAUUUUAACGCCUCGGUGAGGGGGAUUAAAGAGAUGGAAUUUUCCAUGUAUUGGUUAAAUAAGCGAAUAUGGAUGAGGAACGCCAAAAGGCGAAGGCAAUCUCUUAAAAGAAUAGAAGCGGUAACACGGAAGUCCGAGGAGCAAAACGG